This 301-nucleotide ribosomal RNA is filed under the name uncultured bacterium. Its description in RNAcentral is "partial 16S ribosomal RNA". It matches the Rfam family "Bacterial small subunit ribosomal RNA", at positions 509 to 809 of the family's 1533-position model. The record is from RNAcentral.
CAGUCGCCGCGGGAAUACGUAGGUGGCAAGCGUUGUCCGGAAUUAUUGGGCGUAAAGGGCUCGCAGGCGGUUUCUUAAGUCUGAUGUGAAAGCCCCCGGCUCAACCGGGGAGGGUCAUUGGAAACUGGGAAACUUGAGUGCAGAAGAGGAGAGUGGAAUUCCGCGUGUAGCGGUGAAAUGCGUAGAGAUGUGGAGGAACACCAGUGGCGAAGGCGACUCUCUGGUCUGUAACUGACGCUGGGGAGCGAAAGCGUGGGGAGCGAACAGGAUUAGAUACCCGCGUAGUCCCUGUCUCUUAUAA